UACGUAGGGGGCAAGCGUUAUCCGGAUUUACUGGGUGUAAAGGGAGCGUAGGCGGUGAUGCAAGUCAGAAGUGAAAGCCCGCAGCUCAACUGCGGGACUGCUUUUGAAACUGUAUGACUAGAUUGCAGGAGAGGUAAGUGGAAUUCCUAGUGUAGCGGUGAAAUGCGUAGAUAUUAGGAGGAACACCAGUGGCGAAGGCGGCUUACUGGACUGUAAAUGACGCUGAGGCUCGAAAGCGUGGGGAUCAAACAGG
This 253-nucleotide ribosomal RNA is filed under the name uncultured bacterium. Its description in RNAcentral is "partial 16S ribosomal RNA". It matches the Rfam family "Bacterial small subunit ribosomal RNA", at positions 524 to 776 of the family's 1533-position model. The record is from RNAcentral.